ACGAACGCUGGCGGCGUGCUUAACACAUGCAAGUCGAACGGAAAGGCCCUGCUUUUGUGGGGUGCUCGAGUGGCGAACGGGUGAGUAACACGUGAGUAACCUGCCCUUGACUUUGGGAUAACUUCAGGAAACUGGGGCUAAUACCGGAUAGGAGCUCCUGCUGCAUGGUGGGCGUUGGAAAGUUUCGGCGGUUGGGGAUGGACUCGCGGCUUAUCAGCUUGUUGGUGGGGUAGUGGCUUACCAAGGCUUUGACGGGUAGCCGGCCUGAGAGGGUGACCGGCCACAUUGGGACUGAGAUACGGCCCAGACUCCUACGGGAGGCAGCAGUGGGGAAUAUUGCACAAUGGGCGGAAGCCUGAUGCAGCAACGCCGCGUGCGGGAUGACGGCCUUCGGGUUGUAAACCGCUUUCGCCUGUGACGAAGCGUGAGUGACGGUAAUGGGUAAAGAAGCACCGGCUAACUACGUG
RNAcentral lists this ribosomal RNA (467 nucleotides) under uncultured bacterium. RNAcentral's name for it is "partial 16S ribosomal RNA". It matches the Rfam family "Bacterial small subunit ribosomal RNA", at positions 29 to 507 of the family's 1533-position model. The record is from RNAcentral.